AUGAAAUUAUUUCCCUACUUCAGAAAAUAUGGCAAAUUGCAUUUCAUUAGAGAUUGAUUUACAGCAAAUUGCAUGAGCGAGUGGUUCUUGCAUUUUUCAUCAAGUCGUACAUUUUCUUGGUUAUGACAUAAGGGUAAAUGUACUGGUUGGUUGCUUCAAGACUUAAUAACAGACACUAUGACAAUGGCUCAAGAGAUAUCAGAUCUACCUUCUUGGCUGGAGGCGUUAUGGGUGGCGCACGUCUCGACCCCCUUGAUGGCCGUGGUGGAUGGACAUGAACACGAGGGGGGAUCAGGGCGGAGAGCAGGGUGGUUGGCGGGGGACUCAUCCUUGGCAGUUCAUGGGAAAGUACGGUGUGAAGCAGAGGGGGUGCCAUGGCGAAGUGUGAAAGGAGGAAAAUAGUUGCCGGAAAGCAGGUAGAUCUACACCUUGAGAGAUGGCAUUUUGCGGUACAUUGUUUAGGUAUUUGGAGUAUCUAUUAUGUUUCAGAAUUUCUCGAACUAUGACCAUAUGUUUCAGUUUCACUCUUUGGACCAUGAUGGUGGUGUGCAAGGUGGACUAGAUCGUAAUGCUAAAAGAAUCAAUGGAGGUUAUUGGAUAGCUUUUAGAUUCUCCAAAAAAUAAUCUAGCAGAUGGAUGAUCCUAUUAUCACGUACGAUGGUGGUGUGCAAGGAAAUGGAGCAGCAUGAUGGUAGCUAAUGCUGUUAUUUUCACAUAGUGUAGUAUAUUGGGAGCCAAGGCCGAGUAGCAAGCCAUGUGUCACCGCAAGGAUAGGAGCGAGAUUUAAUUAAUUGUAUUUGCAAGAUUUGGUAGUCCCUUCUUGUUUUCCUGGUCAUCUCACAGGUCAUUAGUGGUCACUUGGGAUGGGUGCGAUCUGUAGCAUUUGAUCCAGGGAACAAAUGGUUUUGUCCUGGUUUUGCUGAUAGGACAAUAACGGCAAGGAAGAAGGUUGCAGAGCAUGGAUGGAUGUGAAAAGGAAGAGGAUGGAUGAGAGAGGAGAGAAGAGGGGUGAAAGAGGAUACAGAUGGAAAGAGGGAGAAUGACAGGGUGGGGGCGCUUCUUGAGGAUUAUUGUCGACUGAUUUCAUACUCUCUUAUAAAUUCAUGGUUAGCUAGGUAAACCUUUUGUACAACAGCUCUUGUUCAAAAGGAAGUUUGAUUUUUUGGCUUCUUAUUUUAGGUCAAUAUCAAGAAUAGUUUAGUUAAUUUAGUUUAAUGUUUAUGUUUGAAAUUGACUUUUACCAUUCUGGUUGAAUGGGGGUGUUGAUAGAAGAGAUUGCGAGUCGGGUACGGAGAUGCCAACAUUGUAUUAGGGGCAGAUAGAUUUAAGUUCCGUCUUAUGUCCAUGAGGAUAGGAUCACCAUUAAAUCAUCAGAAUAAGUCUGCUCCUGUUGCAACGCACGGGCAAU
This is a long non-coding RNA of Triticum aestivum (bread wheat), 1408 nucleotides long. RefSeq lists it as uncharacterized. The record is from RefSeq and is a predicted model, not a curated record. Lineage: Eukaryota; Viridiplantae; Streptophyta; Magnoliopsida; Poales; Poaceae. The transcript has 7 exons.